GGAGGGAAUUCAUCGGAUAGGUCAGUAGAGACCCGUGCUUUUAUCAUCGAAUAAAAGAUCAAAAUGUGAGUGUGAUCUCAUAGGCUGAUAAGUUCUUUCAUCGGCUUCAAGAUAUCGAUACAUCGUGUACCUGCUCUGAUCUUUCCUUACUAUAGGAAAAGGAAGAAGUUGAGGAAAGGGGUUCCAAGUCGUAUAGGGAAUACCUUCUUUGAGAUCUUCUACCUAGGGUUUGGUACAUCCCUCAUGUCCUAUAGAAUAGAAAAAUAGUAUUUGAAUUUCUUAGCUCUGGGGAAGCAAGCUAUUCGUUGUCAAGGGAAGUCUAGAGAUUGAAAGUCAACUUUAUCGGCCAGACGCGGGUGCUUUUCUUGAAGAUUCUAUUGAGAAUGAUAUAUCUUUAUAUAUAGAUCAAUCAGGUAUUACGAGUGGGUCUUUAGAUUGCCCCAUUUGCUUCGUACUUGGUAGGAAGGCCUCUUAAGGCUUGUCAGUCUCACCCGAAGAGAUAUACAAGAAAAAAGGGAAGGAAGGGUGCUCCCACCCUAUGGGUGAAUUCUCAGUCUUAAGUGCAUGGGAGGUAUCGGGGAGUUAUCAUUAAGAAAAGGACCCUUUAGCCCUAGAUUCAAGAUUUCCCACCAGACACGAGACGGAAUUAGUAGUUGUCUGACCAUCGAUCCUUUUAGAUAGAGCAGACUGAACAAGGGGUUAGAGUUGGAAGAGAAGACGGCGUCUGGCCUAUAUUAAAUAUCAAAAGAGGGUCCCAAUCCUAUAUUAUUAUCUGAAGUUGCUACCUUUCUUUCGAUAGAUUAAAGGAAUAGCCUAAGCUCCCCGCUCCGUGUGCUUAUCAUAAGAGAAGAAAGAGAGAGGCCGCCCUUAUAAGGCUUCUAACACCUCUAUAAGAGUCGGAAUUGCUAGUUUUAUAAAUAUGCCCUUUCAAGGCACACGCACCCGCCCUCGGACAUAGAAAAAUCAGUUUCCUUUCUGGAGUUGGGGACUUUCUUUCGAUAGAAUCAGAUCGCUUUCCCCUUUUGCUCUUGCUAUAGGACACCCGAACCACUAUUGGACGAGAUAGAUUGAAUGCUUUUAACGUAGCAUCGGGAGUUCAAUUGGCUGGCUAACCUUUCUAUAAUGCCCCUACUAUACCAACCCUGUAUUUUAGAAAUCCAUUUAGGAAUCUUAAUCGGCUUUUGACCUUUGCUUGCUAAUCCCAGAGCCCCCGAUUCCUAUUUUACCUAGGCUGAGGAGAAGGGAGAGCAUGAAAAGGAAAGAGUGAAAUACCUGUAAGGACUAAUAAUGAUUCUGACAGUUAUAGAUUCCAUAAGAAUGGGGUUAGUCUAACUAAUGUAGUUAAAGGAUGCUGUGAAAGCACCUUCAGGCUUUUUCCCUAAGAGAAGUGUAGGCUCCAUAGUGGUGACUCGAUAUACAGCCUUCACUUGGUCAACGGAACCCAGGAUUGGUUGGAUCUGCAGCUUCAACUCGGUCAAAUGCAACUGC
RNAcentral lists this long non-coding RNA (1488 nucleotides) under Coffea arabica (coffee). RNAcentral's name for it is "long non-coding RNA (CARA_LNC008335)". Lineage: Eukaryota; Viridiplantae; Streptophyta; Magnoliopsida; Gentianales; Rubiaceae. The record is from RNAcentral.